RNAcentral lists this ribosomal RNA (531 nucleotides) under uncultured bacterium. RNAcentral's name for it is "bacterial SSU rRNA". It matches the Rfam family "Bacterial small subunit ribosomal RNA", at positions 777 to 1304 of the family's 1533-position model. The record is from RNAcentral.
AAUAGAUACCCGGGUAGUCCACGCCGUAAACGAUGAAUGCUAGGUGUUAGGGGUUUCGAUACCCUUGGUGCCGAAGUUAACACAUUAAGCAUUCCGCCUGGGGAGUACGGUCGCAAGACUGAAACUCAAAGGAAUUGACGGGGGACCCGCACAAGCAGUGGAGUAUGUGGUUUAAUUCGAAGCAACGCGAAGAACCUUACCAGGUCUUGACAUCCCUCUGAAUCCACUAGAGAUAGUGGCGGCCUUCGGGACAGAGGAGACAGGUGGUGCAUGGUUGUCGUCAGCUCGUGUCGUGAGAUGUUGGGUUAAGUCCCGCAACGAGCGCAACCCUUGAUCUUAGUUGCCAGCAUUUCGGAUGGGCACUCGUAGGAUGACUGCCGGUGACAAACCGGAGGAAGGUGGGGAUGACGUCAAAUCAUCAUGCCCCUUAUGACCUGGGCUACACACGUACUACAAUGGCCGAUACAACGGGAAGCGAAACCGCGAGGUGGAGCCAAUCCUAUCAAAGUCGUUCUCAGUUCGGAUUGCAGG